Non-coding RNA from Myotis davidii, 75 nucleotides. The record is from Rfam. Lineage: Eukaryota; Metazoa; Chordata; Mammalia; Chiroptera; Vespertilionidae.
GGCAGUUCUCAGGUGACGCAUCGCGGAAUCGGGCUCCCUCCUCUCUGGUUCCAGGUGCGUCAACCGAGAAACACA